Molecule: unclassified non-coding RNA, 378 nt
Filed under: plant metagenome
Description: partial contains 5.8S ribosomal RNA, internal transcribed spacer 2, and large subunit ribosomal RNA
Rfam family: 5.8S ribosomal RNA (bases 1-105)
Source: RNAcentral
GAAAUGCGAUAAGUAAUGUGAAUUGCAGAAUUCAGUGAAUCAUCGAAUCUUUGAACGCACCUUGCGCUCCUUGGUAUUCCUUGGAGCAUGCCUGUUUGAGUAUCAUGAAAUCUUCAAAGUAAAUCUUUUGUUAACUCAAUUGGUUUCUACUUUGGUAUUGGAGGUCUUUGCAGCUUCACACCUGCUCCUCUUUGUUCAUUAGCUGGAUCUCAGUGUUAUGCUUGGUUCCACUCGGCGUGAUAAGUUAUCUAUCGCUGAGGACACUGUAAAAGGUGGCCAAGGUAAAUGCAGAUGAACCGCUUCUAAUAGUCCAUUGACUUGGACAAUACUUUUUUGAUCUGAGCUCAAAUCAGGUAGGACUACCCGCUGAACUUAAGC